UUUGAUUGUUUCAGCACACUCCGAAGAGACCCAAGACGGCCGAGCCAGCAGCUCAUUUGUGAGCUAAUGGGGGAGAUAUGCGCUGAUAGCUUCACACUCCGCACUCCAUCAGUCUCUGGCUUGCUCGCCGUCUCCGCCUGGGCAGGCUGUCUGGGUUGGCCAGAAGCCAUUAGGGACCAGCGGGAUGUUUUGGAGCCGGAGAGGGACCUGCUGAAACUCGAUAGCCAAGAGUGACGGGUGUGGACUAGGCCUACCCAUUCCUCCCGCUGCAGCAUCACCGGGCGACGGCAGCCUCCUGAGGGAGCACUGGGGACGCGCUGGGCCUGACAGUGGAGCCAGGGCCGGUUUAUCAGAUCAAGCAUGUUAUUUCCCCCUGGAUGUCUUCCUAUUACUCUUGGCCAGGUGCCAGCCCCACGCGGACCCAGAGACGGGCGCCUCCGAGAAGCCUCCGGAUUACAGGCUGCUGGUGCAUGAAUCAAGCCACUCAAUUCUGCUGUUUAUGAGGCUAUUAAUGAGAGUCUAGUAUCAUCUGCCACUCCUUAUGUGUGUGUACACACACACACACACACACACACACACACACAAAUGCAAACACACACACAGACACACACACUCUCUCUGUCUCGCGCUCUCCCUUUGAUACAGAGAUGAACAUAACCCCUCCAGGUGAAAUAGUAUAAUCCCUUUUUAAUGUGCUUCUCUGGACCCAGACCAAAAUGUGGACAAUCCAGAACAAAAAUGCCUACCCCCUCACUAAACCGCUUAUGUACUGUGCACAAGGGGAGAGGAAAUGGUGAUUGAAUGGGUCAUUAGGAAAUGUAACAAAGUAAAAAAGAAUACACUUUGGAUCUGAUGACAGCCAAUGGAUUGUCCACAUGGGUCCAGGACAUACAGUGAUAUUUCUGAGGUAGUGUUGGGCAUGGAGAGAGACUCAAUAGUGUCUUAUCUUUCAUAUGAUCAGACUUUACACAGAUGAGUGAGAUGACACAACGAAAAAAGCAGAGGGGGUUAGCAAUCUUUGGUAUUGAUAUGGAACGGUGAUUUAACUUUUCCACCAGAAAUACUUCACAGGUGUCCCCGAUACAGAAGUAUAUUGUAUUAUAUUGUCUCCGGGAAUUAUCAAGUUUAAACACAUCAAAUUGUAUUUUCUAUCAUUUAUUUUGAUCUCAUUCAUCAUCAAACCCCCAAAAUAAUUCCAAUCUUAGUCUUGGCGUCUCUUGUUGCCAAGCAACACCCAUUUGCUUGUCUAUACGUCACAUACUAAACUGAACGUUCACCCUACUGCAUUUUGUCCAUUUUCUCACUUACUAACUCUCAAAUAUGACAGUAAACAGUCCAAGUGGGGAUGUCUUAAGAUAUCUCCUUUCUGGAAUGCCUCUUUUCAAUCAGAAAUAAAUAAAUAGUUCAACCAAACCUCAAUUCUCAAACUGUUGUAGAAUACAAAAUAUGAA
Long non-coding RNA from Alosa alosa (allis shad), 1451 nucleotides. RefSeq lists it as uncharacterized. The record is from RefSeq and is a predicted model, not a curated record. Lineage: Eukaryota; Metazoa; Chordata; Actinopteri; Clupeiformes; Clupeidae. The transcript has 3 exons.